Transfer RNA from Aspergillus ruber CBS 135680, 98 nucleotides. It matches the Rfam family "tRNA". From Rfam's summary of the family: Transfer RNA (tRNA) molecules are approximately 80 nucleotides in length. Their secondary structure includes four short double-helical elements and three loops (D, anti-codon, and T loops). Further hydrogen bonds mediate the characteristic L-shaped molecular structure. tRNAs have two regions of fundamental functional importance: the anti-codon, which is responsible for specific mRNA codon recognition, and the 3' end, to which the tRNAs corresponding amino acid is attached (by aminoacyl-tRNA synthetases). tRNAs cope with the degeneracy of the genetic code in two manners: having more than one tRNA (with a specific anti-codon) for a particular amino acid; and 'wobble' base-pairing, i.e. permitting non-standard base-pairing at the 3rd anti-codon position. NCBI's taxonomy places the organism in Eukaryota, Fungi, Ascomycota, Eurotiomycetes, Eurotiales, Aspergillaceae. The record is from Rfam.
GCCGAGCUAGCUCAAUUGGUCAGAGCGUCAGACUUUUAUGAAUCGGAAUUGCGAUCACAGAAAUCUGAAAGUUGCGGGUUCGAGUCCCGCGUUUGGCU